UCUUUAAUUUCUCUUUGAAGGGAUUCCAGCACUGCUUCGGAUAACGAAGACCUAUUGUACACACUCCAUUCUCCUGAUGACAGAAUUAUUCGAGACGAAGCCAGGGAGUCCGAAACAGAAUGUGAUAGGCUGUGGAAAACUUUCGAAGUCAACCAGUAUGAAGAAAACAAACGAUGGACAGGCGAACACGCAAUUCUUGCGUGAAGAAGAAUACAGACCCUGAUUAUCCAGCAGGUUAUUCUCAACCAGCUACAUUCGGAGCUUAAAAAGAAGAAUGAAGUCGAAGUUCUUUUUUUCUUUUUUUGUCUACUCACGGUGCUUAUGUUGUUUGUUGCUAUUGAAAUGGCAACCAUUGUAACCAUGUUGAUUGUGAAAUAUGUACAAAAGAUUUUAAAUAAACUAUGUUAUUUGAAA
Long non-coding RNA from Stegodyphus dumicola, 414 nucleotides. The record is from RefSeq and is a predicted model, not a curated record. Lineage: Eukaryota; Metazoa; Arthropoda; Arachnida; Araneae; Eresidae.